Molecule: ribosomal RNA, 340 nt
Filed under: Salmonella enterica subsp. enterica serovar Panama
Lineage: Bacteria; Pseudomonadati; Pseudomonadota; Gammaproteobacteria; Enterobacterales; Enterobacteriaceae
Description: partial 23S ribosomal RNA
Rfam family: Bacterial large subunit ribosomal RNA
Source: RNAcentral
AGUGGGAAACGAUGUGGGAAGGCCCAGACAGCCAGGAUGUUGGCUUAGAAGCAGCCAUCAUUUAAAGAAAGCGUAAUAGCUCACUGGUCGAGUCGGCCUGCGCGGAAGAUGUAACGGGGCUAAACCAUGCACCGAAGCUGCGGCAGCGACACUCAGGUGUUGUUGGGUAGGGGAGCGUUCUGUAAGCCUGCGAAGGUGGCCUGUGAGGGUUGCUGGAGGUAUCAGAAGUGCGAAUGCUGACAUAAGUAACGAUAAAGCGGGUGAAAAGCCCGCUCGCCGGAAGACCAAGGGUUCCUGUCCAACGUUAAUCGGGGCAGGGUGAGUCGACCCCUAAGGCGAG